RNAcentral lists this transfer RNA (71 nucleotides) under Halomonas urmiana. RNAcentral's name for it is "Halomonas sp. TBZ3 tRNA-Met". The stretch from base 1 to 59 matches the Rfam family "tRNA". From Rfam's summary of the family: Transfer RNA (tRNA) molecules are approximately 80 nucleotides in length. Their secondary structure includes four short double-helical elements and three loops (D, anti-codon, and T loops). The record is from RNAcentral. Lineage: Bacteria; Pseudomonadati; Pseudomonadota; Gammaproteobacteria; Oceanospirillales; Halomonadaceae.
GGGCCUAUAGCUCAGUUGGUUAGAGCAGGGGACUCAUAAUCCCUUGGUCGCUGGUUCUAAUGUGGGGUUUA